CCGCGGUAAAACGCGUUACUCCUACGGGAGGCAGCAGUGGGGAAUAUUGCACAAUGGGCGCAAGCCUGAUGCAGCGACGCCGCGUGAGGGACGACGGCCUUCGGGUUGUAAACCUCUUUCAGCACAGACGCGGUAUGUGCAGAAGAAGCACCGGCCAACUAC
This 162-nucleotide ribosomal RNA is filed under the name uncultured bacterium. Its description in RNAcentral is "partial 16S ribosomal RNA". It matches the Rfam family "Bacterial small subunit ribosomal RNA", at positions 314 to 504 of the family's 1533-position model. The record is from RNAcentral.